Molecule: long non-coding RNA, 1847 nt
Organism: Oncorhynchus nerka (sockeye salmon)
Lineage: Eukaryota; Metazoa; Chordata; Actinopteri; Salmoniformes; Salmonidae
Exons: 4
Source: RefSeq, a predicted model, not a curated record
UGGAAUUUUGGUGCCGUUCCCCUGUAUAGCACUUUGAUUGCUUGGAGAAAAAAACAUUCCAUAAAUCUAAUCUAUUAUUACCAUCUUAAUGUUCCUUGGGUCAACAAAGUCCUUUGAGAGGAUCCAUUCUAACGGGCACUGCUAAGUGCGAAUGCAUGGUUCAUUGUAGGCUACAAAGGAGGUCCAUGACACUUCUGAUACCCUCAGCCCUUUAUGGGCUCCUGUGCCAGGCUAGGGCCAAGACAAAUAUAGCCCACAGCCAUAUAGGGGGGUCAGGUACGGCCAUGCAAGGCCAACGCUCUCAUUCAGUGACUCACACACCAGACAGGCAGGCAGGCAGGAAGGCAGGCAGGCCGCAUGAACAGGAUAUUACAUAAUAACCAGUGGAACAGAAACACAGUAUCAGACCUGAACUGACGCUACAAACUAAGGCUAAACUGUACAAACCAAGGCUAAACUGCAGCUUACACUUGAACAAAAUAAGGAUGGUAGCAAAUGACUUUAAGGGAACAGGACAAUGGGGACAGUCAGGGUGACAGCGGUCAGGACAGCCAGACGGACCAGCAGGAGCAUGGUGUCAAACUUAUACACCUUGGUGAAGGUGUGGAGCAACUCCGCCUCCACGUUUCCUGUGUUUGGGAGAAAGAAGGAAUAAGAGCUGUCAGAGACAUACCAAGAGAGAGAUAUGAAAGUGAGGUAGCCGAACAGUGCUGAGAACAUGUACAUGACCAGCAUGGCCAGGAUGGACAGGUUGGACACGUUCUGCAUCUUUCUCCGGGAGCGACUGGGGAAGACGCAAGUUGAGAUUCAUUAGCAGCAAGUGAACGGAGUACAACGACAAGAUGGCCACACCCAAGAGAAGGACUCUACGUUGGGAUAGAAACCAGUCAGACAUUAGCAUUGGGCUAUACCAUACGGAAAUCUUACACAAAUCACAAUGAACAACACUUGGAGGGGAAUCAACCGGGUUACAAAACACCCUACAUAAUAACUUUCACUAGUUUCCCCCCCCUAGUCACUCUCACUCUGUUUUCCCCAUUACCUAUUUAGGGAGGUAAACUUAGCUUUAGAACUGCAGUCGUAUUUAACUUGAGGGGGGGAGGGGUCCGGAUGCUUUCUCUGGCAUGCAUUUAUUGCCUAUUUGAGAAGACCAUGUUCCAAUGCCUAAAGCACAUGUCAAAGACACUAUCAUGCCAUGUCAAUAUAUGUGCCAGCUCAGACAAAAUAGUGGUAGAUUAAUGCGUGUCAGUGCUUAGAGACCAGACUAAACUCUGAGCUAUUAUAUAAGUCAAUAAAGUAACUUGGGAGUUAUGUAUGGGAUGUAUGGGUUUCCCGCUUCGGCUGAACAUGAUCAGCCUUAAAUCCUCACACUUAGAGGUCACAAGGGGCCUUCGUCAUCAAGGAGCCUCUAACCCAAUCAUCCAGCAUCCAAUGGGCUCCAACGUAUUAAACAAACUGUUUAGUUACAUAUGUUGUUUUUGAAUUGAGAGUUGCACCUCUACCCCUCACUGUACUAUUGUUGGCCAGAGACAGGCAAGUGACUGUAUCAAAUGGGUGUUAUGUGAUACCACCUUCCAGAAUGUCAUGGAGUCCCAGAAUAGAUGGUGGGGAAGUAAGAUGUCGCAACUGAUGAGGGGGACUGAUGUUAGGGGACUCCCUGUUAAACUCUUUAUAAUCAUCACGUAAGUAGGUUCCUAAUCUACUUCCUUGUCUCCUGUUCUUCAAUCACUUUCAGGGAUAUAUUUUUGCUUAGUGAGAGUACUCAGUCACCAAAUUCUUUCUUGGUAAAGCCCAGCCAUAUACAGUAGAAACAGGACUGAAAUAAAGCAUCACCAUCCUGUUUUGGA